RNAcentral lists this transfer RNA (74 nucleotides) under Chloroflexi bacterium 13_1_40CM_65_17. Its description in RNAcentral is "tRNA-Met". The stretch from base 9 to 70 matches the Rfam family "tRNA". From Rfam's summary of the family: Transfer RNA (tRNA) molecules are approximately 80 nucleotides in length. Their secondary structure includes four short double-helical elements and three loops (D, anti-codon, and T loops). Further hydrogen bonds mediate the characteristic L-shaped molecular structure. tRNAs have two regions of fundamental functional importance: the anti-codon, which is responsible for specific mRNA codon recognition, and the 3' end, to which the tRNAs corresponding amino acid is attached (by aminoacyl-tRNA synthetases). tRNAs cope with the degeneracy of the genetic code in two manners: having more than one tRNA (with a specific anti-codon) for a particular amino acid; and 'wobble' base-pairing, i.e. permitting non-standard base-pairing at the 3rd anti-codon position. Lineage: Bacteria; Bacillati; Chloroflexota. The record is from RNAcentral.
GGCGAAGGUCGGGGAUGGCCGGUCUCGGGCUCAUAACCCGAAGGUCGUUGGUUCGAAUCCAACCUCCGCAACCA